RNAcentral lists this transfer RNA (72 nucleotides) under Hippoglossus stenolepis (Pacific halibut). Its description in RNAcentral is "tRNA-Lys". It matches the Rfam family "tRNA". From Rfam's summary of the family: Transfer RNA (tRNA) molecules are approximately 80 nucleotides in length. The record is from RNAcentral. Lineage: Eukaryota; Metazoa; Chordata; Actinopteri; Pleuronectiformes; Pleuronectidae.
UCCCAUAUGGUCUAGCGGUUAGGAUUCCUGGCUUUUUUCCAGGUGGCCUGGGUUCAACUCCCGGUAUGGGAA